GUCCACGCAGUAACGAUGAUAACUCGUUGUCGGCGAUACACAGUCGGUGACUAAGCGAAGCGAUAAGUUAUCCACCUGGGAGUACGUUCGCAAGAAUGAAACUCAAAGGAAUUGACGGGGCCCGCACAAGCGGAGGAACAUGUGGUUUAAUUCGAUGAUACGCGAGGAACCUUACCCGGGCUUGAAAGUUAGCGACGAUUCUUGAAAGAGGAUUUUCCCCUUCGGGGCGCGAAACUAGGUGCUGCAUGGUUGUCGU
Molecule: ribosomal RNA, 256 nt
Filed under: uncultured bacterium
Lineage: Bacteria
Description: partial 16S ribosomal RNA
Rfam family: Bacterial small subunit ribosomal RNA
Source: RNAcentral